RNAcentral lists this small nuclear RNA (114 nucleotides) under Thelazia callipaeda (thelaziosis nematode). Its description in RNAcentral is "U5 spliceosomal RNA". It matches the Rfam family "U5 spliceosomal RNA". From Rfam's summary of the family: U5 RNA is a component of both types of known spliceosome. The precise function of this molecule is unknown, though it is known that the 5' loop is required for splice site selection and p220 binding, and that both the 3' stem-loop and the Sm site are important for Sm protein binding and cap methylation. The record is from Rfam by way of RNAcentral. Lineage: Eukaryota; Metazoa; Nematoda; Chromadorea; Rhabditida; Thelaziidae.
UCAAUCUGGCUCUCCUACAGUUGACCGCGUAAAUCUUUCGCCUUUUACUAAAGAUUUCCGUGUAGGAGAGCGUCAAAGAUACUCUGACAUUUUUUGGAAGUCCUCCAGGGGACU